RNAcentral lists this microRNA precursor (105 nucleotides) under Canis lupus familiaris (dog). RNAcentral's name for it is "mir-8834 microRNA precursor family". It matches the Rfam family "mir-8834 microRNA precursor family". Lineage: Eukaryota; Metazoa; Chordata; Mammalia; Carnivora; Canidae. The record is from Rfam by way of RNAcentral.
AGGAGGAACAGUCCCAGUGGCUGCGGCAGCUCUGGAAACCUGGAUUCAGCCCCCGCAGUAACUCCGGAGCUCUCCAUCUGCAGGGCCUGGAGGCUCCGGGGCGGG